GCAACCUCGCGUCAACUGUCAAAAUGUUUUGAAAAACAAAAUGCUCUUAUUUCGAUGCAUUUCAAGAGUUUUGUUGUGAUAAGAACACUGGAAUAUAGACUAUAAUACUAUCCAACCAUUAAUUAGACUCAUGAUCUUGACAUGGAUCCAAGAUGCUGGUAACUAGGCAGGACGGAUUGUUACACAGAACUGCAGGUUUCUGGAUGGGUAACUAAAUUCCCAUAUUUCCGGUUUACUUGUGUUAUUUAUAAGCAAGAUACAAGUAAAUACACCGCAAGAGCGAAUCAAGUGGAAAUCGUACAUUAUAGACUCUGCGCCAUGUCACAAAUACUUCGGAACCUAGAAUGAAAGUUACCGAAAGAGCAAUAGACUUUCCAAUCUCUACAAAAUUUAUCUUAACUGUUUUUCAAGGUGAUACUUGAGACUACCAAAGACUUUUCAAGGACAGAAUUCACAAAACAGUUUAUGCCACCAUCUCAUAUCAAAGGAUUGUGCUUGAGUUGAACAGCCUUCAAACAGAAACUGUUUCAAAACCUUCAAUGGAUUCAUUCUGAUACAGUUUACCCUUGCUGUGAUGUGAGCAACUAUUUACAUCAAUUCAAAAUUGUAAAUUGUUUAAACUUGAAAAAUCUGUCUUCGUGCAACUUACAUGAAUCUAUUUACUGUGGACUUUGAUGUUGACUCUAUACAGGAAGAAGAUACCAUCUUUAUACAUGCUGGCAUAUCUUUUAAAAAGGAAACAAAUAUUAUAACCAACAUACUACACUGUUAUGAUAUCCAAGGACUCAGCUACUGACUCAAUUUAUAAAUACUUCAAAGGAAAAACGUCUCUGUCAAUGUAAUUACUGCUGUGCAUAAUAAGACAUUUUUUAUUAUGCGCCCCUUCGAAGAAGAGGGGUAUAUAAUUUAUUGCUUUGCACAUGUCGGUCGGUACCAUCUAUAGACCAAAGCUUGUCCGAGUGAUAACUCAACAAUUCCUGGACGUAUGGUCAUCAAACUUGACAUGAAGGUUGGGCCUGACCAGUAGAUGAUUUUAGGGCUCAUCAGGUCAAAGGUCAAGGUCACAGUGACCUUGAAUGGUAAAUUAAUUUUAAAGCUUGUCCGAGUGAUAACUCAACAAUGCCUAGACCUUUCGUCAUCAAACUUGAUAUGGAAGUUGGGCCUCACCAGUAGAUGACCCCUAAAGGUUUUGGGGAUCAUCGAGCCAAAGAUCUAGGUCACAGUGACCUUGAAUGGUAAAAGGUUGUCCAAGUGAUAAAUCAACAAUGCCUGCCCCCUUGGCCCUCAAACUUGACUCGGAGGUUGGGCCUUACCAGUAGAUGACCCCUAUUGAUUUAGGGGUCAAAGGUCAAGGUCAAAAUGAUCUUGAAAGCAAACUCGACAAUUCCUGGACCAAUCAUGCCAUUCAGUCUGAAUGGUCAUCAAACUUGACAUAAAGGUUGGGCCUGACCAGUAGAUGACCCCUCUUGACUUUGAGGGUCAUCAAGCCAAGGUCAAGGUCACAAAAAAAGAUAACAAAUCCUCUCUCAGGGAUAUCUCAACCAUGCCUGAACCUAUGAUCAUCAAACUUGACAUGGAAGUUGGUCCUGACAAGGAGAUGACGCUUAUUGAUUUUAGGAGUCAUUGGGUCAAAGGUCAAGUUCACAGUGACGUUGAAUGUGAAAAUGUUUCGAGUGAUAACUUGACAAUGCCUGUACCUAUGGCCCUCAAAUCUGACUUGGAGUUGUGUCUGGCCUGUAGAUGAGUCCCUUUCAUUUUAGGGGUCAUCGGGUCAAACGUCAAGGUCACAGUGCCAUUGAUUGAAAAAAGCUUGUCUGUGUGAUAACAUGUCAAUGCCUGAACCCAUGUCCCUCAAACUUGACAUUUAGAUUUUUGUAGACCAGCUGAUGACUCAUGGAUUUUGAGGUCAUAGAGUCAAAGGUCAUGGUCAUAACACACUCUAUCCUCACACUUUGAAUGGUCAUAAUCUUCAAACUGCCUCAACGGCAUCCAAUGUCAGUGACUAAUCAGCUGUCAUUUCGGUCCAUACUUAUUUCAUUCAAUUGUUCAUAUAAUCCUGACAACAUGGCGCUCAGGUGGGGGCAUAAUGUUUGACAAACAUCUCUUGUUGAUACUUGGCUCAUUUCUUACAUGUAGCUGUAACAUUUUGGGCAACUUCUCAAUUAUUUUGUUUAAGACAUUUUUCAUCCAGGUCAUCUAAGCCUAAGUUAGUGUUCAUGUUAACUUUUAUGACUGCCUGUUUAUUGUACUUUUUAUAAAUUAUUUUAAUGACUUUUUCUCAAGAACCAUUUGGCUAAGUAUGUCUCCUCCUGAAAUAGACUAAUUCUUUUAGCUCCAGUUGUCUGUCUGUCCGUCUGUAAAAAAUUGUGUCCGCUCCAUGUCUCUUUGACCUUUUGAAGGAUUUGAUAUAAAUUCCCACAAAUGUACACCAUAUUGAGAGGAAGGGUUUAUCACUAUAACUGUUGAGCAGUUUCUGAACUUGACUGUAUUAUAUCUUGCAUUUACCUCAAGCUGUUAAGUGAACAAUAUAACAUUGACCAACACAAGGAACUAAACCUUCUAGGUCACCAUUUUGGAAUAAAGUAAUACUUAAAGCUCAUAUUUCCAUAAGAAUCUGCUCAUAUACAGAUUAAAUAACUUAUACAAGUAUAUCAAUUCAACAUAACAUCAGAUCCUCCACUGUUUUAUGUUUGCAACAUUUUUAUUUAAACUUUGAUUAAUAUAUCAAGACUUUUAUGAACACAUACCAAACAGCAACUCACAGAUCUAUACUCAUUUGGGCAGAAUUUUGUAAAUCCAAGCAUUGUCAUUUGAUAUUCAAUGCUUUUUGGCAAAUUGGGGCAUUUUCUGUCACAUUAAAAUCAAUAUUAACAAUAAAUCUCCAACUUCAAUAUUCUCAUAUUUUUGUGCCCAUUCGUUGCCAAUUAUUUGUUUGUCUUUUGGUAUACAUGUAUUCAUACUGUUUUUCAAAAUAACGAAUUAAUAAAAUGUUUGAAAUA
This is a long non-coding RNA of Mya arenaria, 2999 nucleotides long. RefSeq lists it as uncharacterized. NCBI's taxonomy places the organism in Eukaryota, Metazoa, Mollusca, Bivalvia, Myida, Myidae. The transcript has 3 exons. The record is from RefSeq and is a predicted model, not a curated record.